This 137-nucleotide ribosomal RNA is filed under the name uncultured eukaryote. Its description in RNAcentral is "partial 18S ribosomal RNA". It matches the Rfam family "Eukaryotic small subunit ribosomal RNA", at positions 1299 to 1458 of the family's 1831-position model. The record is from RNAcentral.
UGGUGGAGUGAUUUGUCUGCUUAAUUGCGAUAACGAACGAGACCUUGACCUGCUAAAUAGCCAGCAUUGCUUUGGCAGUGCGCCGGCUUCUUAGAGGGACUAUCGGCUCAAGCCGAUGGAAGUGCGAGGCAAUAACA